RNAcentral lists this ribosomal RNA (464 nucleotides) under Vibrio alginolyticus. RNAcentral's name for it is "partial 16S ribosomal RNA". It matches the Rfam family "Bacterial small subunit ribosomal RNA", at positions 1 to 451 of the family's 1533-position model. RNAcentral also lists the same sequence under 1 other name. The record is from RNAcentral. Lineage: Bacteria; Pseudomonadati; Pseudomonadota; Gammaproteobacteria; Vibrionales; Vibrionaceae.
AAAUUGAAGAGUUUGAUCAUGGCUCAGAUUGAACGCUGGCGGCAGGCCUAACACAUGCAAGUCGAGCGGAAACGAGUUAUCUGAACCUUCGGGGAACGAUAACGGCGUCGAGCGGCGGACGGGUGAGUAAUGCCUAGGAAAUUGCCCUGAUGUGGGGGAUAACCAUUGGAAACGAUGGCUAAUACCGCAUGAUGCCUACGGGCCAAAGAGGGGGACCUUCGGGCCUCUCGCGUCAGGAUAUGCCUAGGUGGGAUUAGCUAGUUGGUGAGGUAAGGGCUCACCAAGGCGACGAUCCCUAGCUGGUCUGAGAGGAUGAUCAGCCACACUGGAACUGAGACACGGUCCAGACUCCUACGGGAGGCAGCAGUGGGGAAUAUUGCACAAUGGGCGCAAGCCUGAUGCAGCCAUGCCGCGUGUGUGAAGAAGGCCUUCGGGUUGUAAAGCACUUUCAGUCGUGAGGAAGG